This 270-nucleotide ribosomal RNA is filed under the name uncultured bacterium. RNAcentral's name for it is "partial 16S ribosomal RNA". It matches the Rfam family "Bacterial small subunit ribosomal RNA", at positions 84 to 353 of the family's 1533-position model. The record is from RNAcentral.
UUUGAUGGCGACCGGCGCACGGGUGAGUAACACGUAUCCAACCUGCCGAUGACUCGGGGAUAGCCUUUCGAAAGAAAGAUUAAUACCCGAUGGCAUAAUGAUUCCGCAUGGUUUCAUUAUUAAAGGAUUCCGGUAAAGGAUGGGGAUGCGUUCCAUUAGGUUGUUGGUGAGGUAACGGCCCACCAAGCCUUCGAUGGAUAGGGGUUCUGAGAGGAAGGUCCCCCACAUUGGAACUGAGACAUGGUCCAAACUCCUACGGGAGGCAGCAUG